CGCACGCCUGUAGUCCCAGCUAC
Molecule: non-coding RNA, 23 nt
Filed under: Cricetulus griseus (Chinese hamster)
Lineage: Eukaryota; Metazoa; Chordata; Mammalia; Rodentia; Cricetidae
Source: RNAcentral